Long non-coding RNA from Camponotus floridanus (Florida carpenter ant), 1144 nucleotides. RefSeq lists it as uncharacterized. The transcript has 4 exons. Lineage: Eukaryota; Metazoa; Arthropoda; Insecta; Hymenoptera; Formicidae. The record is from RefSeq and is a predicted model, not a curated record.
UGCUGCGCAGUAGUGAAAGAGUUCGUGCGAGAAAGAGAAGGUCUUGUGCUGGUGACCUGUGGUGGUACGAACGAGAGAGAGACUGAUAGUGCUUGUGUGGAGAGAGAUGAAGACGAGCGAGAGCGAGAGCAGGUGACAAGUUUAGCGGAACGGAGACUGCGGCUGGAAUCGCGAGAGAGAAGGCUGCGAGUGCGCAGUUGACCAGACAAAGAUGGCGCGAGAUCAAUAUCUACGAAAAUCAAUUCUACUAUUGUACAUCGAUUGCAAAUUCCAAAGAUGCCAGAACUUCAACGUCCAUCCGUUCGAUCUUCCAAUCGUAAACAGCAACUUCCGAUUCGCAUGCCAAACCGGAGGUAUUUGGAAGACUAGUGGAGCUUAGAGGGAUAUAACUGUUUCGAUUCACACGAGUCUUUUGAAUGGCGAGUCGAUAUUCACGGUAAAGAAACUCGAGCAUUUAUCAAUGUUUCUGAAAAAAGGUAAGUCUUGGCGAGCACAAUAUGUACAGAAAUAAUCUCGCGGUCGCGCUCCUCGACACAUUCAUACUUUAUCGUAAGUAUCCGCGACCCGUGCAAUCAAGAAAGUGUGACGGUAGCGGGAAAUGCUCGCAGAUAUAAACGAGAACAGGGACGCGAAUACAGAGCGAAGCGAAGUGAAUGCGAGGUGGAGAAGGAGGAGGAGAAGGGAAAGGUUGUGCAGGAAAAGAAGGAGAUGCGCGGUAGAAUUUUUCGUAGGGUAAGUGCGAUGUAUCACGAGGUAGUAAAUUCAGAUAGCCGACUUUUCCCAGAGAAAUUAUAAUUUUCCUUCUCGUAAAGAGGAAAGGAGGAAGAGAGAGAGAGAGAGAGAAAGAGAGAGAUGACUCCAUGACGCUAAUGCGAGCGUACAUUAGGCGAGAAAAAUAGCCCAGGCUACGGGAACGAGGGAAUUUGUAUGAAGGCGAGACCGGCGCGCGGGUUAAUCGCCAGGAAAAUGGCGACAAUGGGUACUGUGGCGUGUAUUAAGAAUCAACGAUGCUGGUGAAUCAAGUCGAGGGAUGUCUUCGUUAUGCGUCGAGCAAGGCGUUUAUUCUUAAUUUAGCUAUAAAGCUAAAGCUGCGUUUAUUGCAGUUUUUUACAGCGAACGCGCUCUUCGAAAAGUAGAUAGAAAA